Molecule: ribosomal RNA, 256 nt
Filed under: Streptomyces sp. ISO376_OTU243
Lineage: Bacteria; Bacillati; Actinomycetota; Actinomycetes; Kitasatosporales; Streptomycetaceae
Also listed under: 1 other name
Description: partial 16S ribosomal RNA
Rfam family: Bacterial small subunit ribosomal RNA
Source: RNAcentral
ACGAACGCUGGCGGCGUGCUUAACACAUGCAAGUCGAACGAUGAAGCCUUUCGGGGUGGAUUAGUGGCGAACGGGUGAGUAACACGUGGGCAAUCUGCCCUUCACUCUGGGACAAGCCCUGGAAACGGGGUCUAAUACCGGAUAAUACUCUGUCCUGCAUGGGACGGGGUUGAAAGCUCCGGCGGUGAAGGAUGAGCCCGCGGCCUAUCAGCUUGUUGGUGGGGUAAUGGCCUACCAAGGCGACGACGGGUAGCCG